This is a long non-coding RNA of Notolabrus celidotus (New Zealand spotty), 1543 nucleotides long. RefSeq lists it as uncharacterized. The transcript is spliced from 4 exons. The record is from RefSeq and is a predicted model, not a curated record. Lineage: Eukaryota; Metazoa; Chordata; Actinopteri; Labriformes; Labridae.
GUUCACAAACCUGAAACGUGCUUUGACACAGUUUUUCCACCCACUCCACACAGUCGUCUUUGAGCGCAGCGAACACCAUCGUCCUGUCCUGAGUCUCCACGCAGAAAGCGGACAUGUUCUCCUGCAAACAUCACAGAGAGCAACUUUAAUAUAAACUCAGCGCUCACUGAUGAAUGUGAACAAAACAAGGAACCAGAGAGACCCACCGUGGGACAAGCCUCAGCGUUCGGGGGGAGUCUGAGGACGCUGAUCAGCUCGGACAGCCGGACCACCUUCAUCUUUCUGUCUUGAGGCUGGUGGUGUCUCCUGGCCCCAGGACUAUAGUCGGCUCCAGCAGCGCCACCUGGUGGACACACAGCGAAGACACAGAUGAAGGUUUGUUGUAUGAAGAUUAUCUGGAGCAAUCCAAAGAGGCAGAUUAUUCAUGUUAACAAAGUGGGAGAAAUGAACGUGUGAUUUCUGACGCUGUACAUUAACAGCUCUGUAGAUGCAGAUGUGACUGAGGAUGAAUCCUCUGUGUAUUUUCAUGACGUUAACCAAACCUCCCCUCAGCACCCUGACACACUGUGCACAGUGCAGAUUUGACUCUGCACAAACCCUCUCAUGUAGGAGACGCUGCAUGAGGCAACAUGUCCGCCCCGGGUGUUGGCAUGAAGCAGGAGGUGUGACAGGUAUUCUGAGUGGAGGAGAAAAGGAGCGAGCCAACUCUAAGGAAGAAAAGAGAAAUCAUUUACAACAACAACUCAGAGAGCUCUGAUCCACCGGAGCCAAACGACAUCUGAGUGUUGAAGUCUGCAGGGAUCACCUCUGAACAUGUCUGGAUAUAUUUUUAACACUUCACAUUAAAUAUGGGUUCACUUUGUGUGAACAAAUAAAGAUGUGAGAGGAAAAGGUUUCUGUACCUCCAAUAUCCUGGAUCUCCAGGCGACCCACUGCACUGCUGCUGUGAGGGAAGAGAGACAACCACACCGGCUUCCAUUUCUGAGAGGAGACACAGAGAGAGAUGGAACAAAAGACUCUUUAAAAGAGGAGGGUGAAACCAGCAGAUUUUAUACAUCUUUCAACAACCAGCAGGGGGCAUCUCCACUGAUUCAAGCCACAACCUAUCUUGCUGAUGUGCUGCAAUGGAAAAUAACAACAGCACUGGACGACACAUUUAACUUCAACAAACUCCCAGACGGCUCAGUUUACAGCUCAAAGUAAUCUACACUUUGUGUCAAACAGGACUCAAAUAUCAUGAAGUACUAUGAGCUAACAGCUACAAGCUAAGCUACAGGAGCAGCUAAUCAGACUGAUGUCAGAAUCAACACAGAGACUACAUCUCAGACGUUGAGAGUUGUGACAUAUCAUGUGCUUUACCAUCAGGAACAAUAGUUUCACUCAUAAAGGAUCCGUAUGAAACAGAGAAAACAACCAAAUUGGAACUCCUGAAAAGUGUGAAUGCUGUUGCAUUAACCUGGGAUCCGUGGACGCCAGUGAGUGAUCACAUUUAUCUCUGAGUAACUGCGCACUGAGUGGACAUUUUGUCCUGCAUAUUCCUUCA